Molecule: long non-coding RNA, 3139 nt
Organism: Felis catus (domestic cat)
Lineage: Eukaryota; Metazoa; Chordata; Mammalia; Carnivora; Felidae
Exons: 6
Source: RefSeq, a predicted model, not a curated record
UUAGAACACAGACAGCAAUAUCUGUUCUUUUAGAACAUGUAGAUGCCUGUGAAGUAAUGGCUGGUCUGAGAAUCGUUGAGGGGACCAAAUAGCAAAGGAUCAAAGUCCGAAUGAAAUAGGACCACCUUCCUAACUCAAGCCUACUGUGACAUCACCCUGCACUAUUCCACUUUUCAUUUUCCCACAAGGUAAAGUCCUUGAUUACAUUUGACAAAAAGGCUAUAGAACAAGAAGAGCAGUGAUGUUAGAGCACUUAAAGAAUGGUGUUCCCAGGAAUGAAAGAUUGAUGAAGGCUCUGUUAGAGGGGUGGUGUUCCAGCUGCGCCUUAAAGCAAAGGUCAAGUUUGAAUUGAUAGAGGUGAGAAAGGAAGACAUUCCAGAUGAGAACGGCAUUGUAAGGGAAUUCCUAAGGGUGAAAGGAAGCAAGAAUUAUCUACCCGAGCCCAUAAUGCUGAUCCCACCUUGGAGAUGCCAGUUCAACCACUGGAAUGUGAGUCCGAAAAAAGAGCAUAAAAGACCACUGGACUGUAAGCUCCUUGAGGUCCACGGCCUUGCGUGAUCCUUCCUUGUGCUCCUUGACUGGGCAAGAGCGAAUAGGAAGACAUUGGUCGACAUAACAAGAAGAAUCCAGUAGAAUGCCCACUGAGAGAAUCUACUAGAACCUUUUCCUUAUAAAGAAGAACAUGGAAAUAAAGAUCAUCCUUAUUACCCCAAAUUUCACCAUCUGCACUCAAAAAUCAACUACAAAUAUCUUUCAUUCUGCGAAUGUCGAACUCUCACUGUCCUAACAGAACCCUUGUGCCGAGUGAUAGCAAGCGUAGUUUUGAAACAGCCAAGGGUCUCAGCAUGGGAUCUCAGCCGCCUGGAUCUACUGCCACGACUUCUUUUCUUUCCAAAAAUGCAUUCUAUAUAUCCACAACUCUUCAACCCAUUCACAUUUGGAAGACCUUCUUCUGUAACUGCAGAGAUUUUGCCUGGUAGUCAGGUUAGGGGGACAGAUUCGGUUGGCCUCCCAGAGAGUGUAACUUGGUUGCCAAACAGCAAGAGGAGAAAGACCUCCCCCAAAACCCGGUGUUUGAGAAUGUGGAGAGUGGGCAGACAGAUGCCAUUCCCCAAAUCUUAGAAUUAAGGAAUAGCUGAUCAUUCUCCGACAUACGCUUCCUAAAAGAAAUACACGAUUGGCAAGCACAUGGAUAAAUGUGGUCACCUGAAAGGUUCAAAUGACUCCAACCAUCAGCCCUGAAGACAGUCUGCGAGCACGAGGUGUCCAAAGAAAUCAUGCAUUGGUCAGAAGUGAGGAUUGGCCAAGUAAGUGUAGACGAAGGAAGGCCACCAAGGAAAACGUUGGCAGAGCUCAUCUAAGGUGCUCUCUAGAGAAAAGUAAAUCUCAAUUCUUAGACUUUACGUACUUCCUAUACAAUCUUAUGGAAAGUCCAUCCUGAUGUCAUGUUGUAUAAAUACAGGAGAUAAGAAGAUAUUAUCUUAAUUGAAGUUUGCCUUCUCUACUCAGACUACCCAAACUAGAGGCUAACCUCGCUAACUUUCAUUCAGCCGGAAGCAUUCAGGGCCUCAGAAGAAUUAUAACAGUCAGAAUGCAAAGACUAAGCUUCAAGCAAACUCAACUUUAAAUUGCUAGACAUACGCUUGAAACCCAAGGACGAGACUUUGGUUUCAUCAGACAGGCCUGGCCCUGUGCUAAAUAAUAUUCAUAGAAGAAUAAAUAUCACCCAGAAACAGUUCUUCCUGUGAAUUCAGAUGAGAUGAAGAUCCCAUGGGCCAGGAUCAGCAUAUAUGUGAAAGGAAACAGGGCAGAUGCCCCUGAGUGUGCUAUGAAAGGAUCUACCCUCUAUCCCCAGACCUAGUUCUGGAGGACCACAGAACUCUCUAUUUGUUAAGGUAAUACUUGCUGCUAUCACCAAAUUUUGAAGGCUUACCGCAGUAGUAUUUUAUUUUUUAUUUUUUUUAUGCAAGUGUCCAAGCAGGUUGGUCUGAUCGGUAGGCAGCUGUUGUCCAUCUGAUGACUCAUGUACUCCAGCUCCUCCCAUCUUUGACUUCCUCAAUUCCUUGGAAACUUAGCAUCCAACAGGCAGAAGAAAAAAAGAGAAGGUGAGAAAGCCACCCCCACUUUUUAUAAACCCUGCUAUAGAAAUGGCAUACGUCACCUCUACUCUCAUUCAAUUGGCAAGAACUAUUUGAAUUACAUACCCGCAACUUGAUGCAAAAACUUGGAAAUACAGCCCCUGGCUACACAGUCUAGACGGGGCAAUUAUUCCAUACUGUGGAAGGAGAAGCAUGCCAUUUUGGUGGAAAGCUGGCCAUUUCCGCCACUAAUUACCAUGUAGGUUUGGGCUAUAGGACAAAAUCAACAUGCACCCCAUUUCCCAUCUGUGGUUCUGAAAAGUGGCAAGAUUUGAGGGGAUUCUGCACGCUAAAAUGAUGAAGGAGCAGUCAAGAAGAAAUGUAGCUUGAGUAGUCACAGAAGUUCAAAGACAUCCCCUACCCAGCACUCCCUCAUUGGCACCCUCCUUGGAAGUCUGCUGUGCCUCCAGAGCGGUAUGGGAGAGCACAGGAACUUUUCUUGUGUACCUGCAGAGCCUCUUCCAGAAGAGCACGACGGUAUUAGAAAGAAAGCUGGCAGAUGUGAAGGGGCCCCCGGAGUAGGAUGAAGGGAAGCCACGGAGUGCUACCGUGAGGCCUACAUGGGGUGGAGGUGGGGGUGGGGCGUGGGAAUGUAGCAGGCUGAGCCGAUGCCAGCAAAGUAGGAAACGGUGAGCCAAGACGAGGUGGCCCUUGCCCUCAGUGCCCUGACACUAAGUAAACUUCCCAAGACUUAGAAAUCCACAAAAGAGGAAGAACAAUUCUGGAUUGACUGAGUCUACCUUGAAUCGAGUAUGUUUAACUGUUCGAAAUUAAGUGAUUCUGCUACCAGACAGAAUGGGACUCAAGCUAAAAAUUAAAUGCAAUUAAAUGAAAUUACUUAUUUUGAGGAGCAUACCCAAGAUUAUGAUUUCAGAGUUAGUUGCUACUACGUGUGUAAUCAGUUGUCUUAGCCUGGUUGCAUACUCCCCAAACAAUUCCAAAUUUUUAAUUUUCUUACCAUGUUCCACUGUCUACUGAGUAAACACGGGAGUCAAACUGUA